UGACAGAAUGACAGAGGGCCAUC
RNAcentral lists this non-coding RNA (23 nucleotides) under Rattus norvegicus (Norway rat). Lineage: Eukaryota; Metazoa; Chordata; Mammalia; Rodentia; Muridae. The record is from RNAcentral.